CCUACGGGAGGCAGCAGUGAGGAAUAUUGGUCAAUGGGCGGAAGCCUGAACCAGCCAAGCCGCGUGCAGGAUGACGGCCCUACGGGUUGUAAACUGCUUUUAUACGGGAAUAACGCGCCUUACGUGUAGGGCUUUGCAUGUACCUGAUGACUAAGGACCGGCUAAUUCCGUGCCAGCAGCCGCGGUAAUACGGAGGGUCCGGGCGUUAUCCGGAUUUAUUGGGUUUAAAGGGAGCGUAGGCGGCAUGUCAAGCGUGCGGUGAAAUGUCCGGGCUCAACCCGGGCCUUGCAGCGCGAACUGGCUGGCUUGAGUGCGCGAAAAGCAGGCGGAAUUCGUCGUGGAGCGGUGAAAUGCUUAGAUAUGACGAAGAACCCCGAUGGCGAAGGCAGCUUGCUGCAGCGGAACUGACGCUGAUGCUCGAAAGCGCGGGUAUCGAACAGGAUUAGAUACCCCAGUAGUC
This 460-nucleotide ribosomal RNA is filed under the name uncultured bacterium. Its description in RNAcentral is "partial 16S ribosomal RNA". It matches the Rfam family "Bacterial small subunit ribosomal RNA", at positions 338 to 795 of the family's 1533-position model. The record is from RNAcentral.